This is a non-coding RNA of Acanthosepion pharaonis, 102 nucleotides long. The record is from the annotation of a GenBank genome assembly. Lineage: Eukaryota; Metazoa; Mollusca; Cephalopoda; Sepiida; Sepiidae.
UUACUUUGAAACACCGGGUCCCGAACGAUCACCGAAGUUAAGCAACGUCGAGCCCGGUCAGUACCUGGAAGGGUGACCGCAUGGGGAUAAUCAAUGCUGUAA